Bubalus bubalis (water buffalo) is the source of this 1876-nucleotide long non-coding RNA. RefSeq lists it as uncharacterized. The transcript is spliced from 2 exons. NCBI's taxonomy places the organism in Eukaryota, Metazoa, Chordata, Mammalia, Artiodactyla, Bovidae. The record is from RefSeq and is a predicted model, not a curated record.
AAGAUCCAUAGUUAAUAGCUGGGUUUUAGCUGGAUAACAGACAGUACCUCAGGAAAUAUACGAUCAUUAAAACAUGACGUUGUAGUGCUAAAUCUUUCUGCACAUGUAUUCUUACUUCCUUAGGAGGACCCCGAUUUUAAGCCCUGUCUCCAUCAGUCUCAAGACCCAGGACCUUAGGGGAGAGAGGGAGGCACCUGGAGGCUGCAGCACCUGAGCAGUCUUGCCUCAGUUCUUCACCAUCAAGAUGUACCUUCCUUACCUACUGGCAAAGAAGAUGCUUCAUAUAUAGAAAACCUGCAGAUCUGCAUAUCCUGGCACUAGGUGCUGGCAUCCACUCACCAGGUCAGCUCAGCCGAUCCAAUCGCAGAAGGAACUCAACUCUGCCGGUCACCUCACAUGGGGACAAGAGUGUGUGUGUGGACCAGCACAGUCGAGUCUUUCUCCUGGACAGAAACCUCAGACGUGUGCCUCAUCACCACACACCACAUGCCGCAUCUCAAUGCCUCUUUCAAUGAACAGGUACUGGGGAGAAAUUCUUUCACAAGUGAGUUAAGACGAUGCGGGUCCCUGCUGUCUGAAGACCUCUUAUCUGUCUCCACCCUGCAGCUCUCUCCUGAAAAUGGGACUGUAUCAUUUGCUAGCUCGCAUCCUAUCAGACUGGAAGGGACCCUAGAGAAGUGAGUGGGGACAUGGGACAGCCAGCAGGGGAUGGUGAGAAAGAGUCCCAGGCAACGGUACAAAAAUACUGGGCCUCAGAACACUGCCAAAAACAGGAAAGAAGAAACCAAAACACACUUUUUCCCCUCUAAAGAAUAUCAUUAUGUACAAAUUUUAUGUACAUGCUUUCUCUGCUUUGACACAUUUGUGAGUCACUCUGUACAUUCGUCUGGGACACAACUGGUUAAAGUUAGUGGUGACUUCAUCUCCCCUGGGACUAGACAGUCACCAUUUAUUCUUUUGAUGGCUGGGAAAUGUUUGGGUCUGUUCUGAGACUAGUCUGAGAAGACUUCCAGUUAGACACUAGCUGGGGGCAGAAAUAGUCCAUAUCCAAUCACACGGCCCUGCCUGCUGUCUCUUCCUCCUUAUUCACACCCUCUGAAAGGCGGCUUUGUGGUUCCACCGAGUCCCCUAGGAGAGAUAACAAACACCCCACAGAGGAAGCUCUAGAAAGAGGACAUUUGGGAGUGUGCAGGCCAGUGCCUGCUGCUUUCUGAGCCGUUUUCACUGCGUGGCUGGGAUGAAGAGACUACCUAACAGCCUCAAUCAUGGCAUGGGGACAGAUGCAUCCAGUGAGGUGGGGCUUCUGGCUAGAGACAGCAUGCAGGGCUGAUGCGGAAACAAACUGUAGCUCAGGGGAAUGAGAUGGGCAAAGGGAGGAUUCCGUUGGGUCUGCAAGCACCUUCUUCCUGUGCCAAACAGCUCUGACAUCUCAACGUUGCUUAGAGUUGCUCACAGAGGGUAAACUGAGAAGCAGCAAAACUGAGCACUUUGUUCUUUGUACUCCUCUGCUCCUGAGCAGCACUCAUCUCCCAAGAGCACGCCAGCUUGAAGGCCAAGCUGAUGAGAAGCAACCCCCCCAGGCCAGUGGGGGCCUCAGAAUAUCCAGGAAGAGUGUAAGCUAGACGAGCAGUGGAAGUGGCAGUGUCCCCAAGCUGCCAGAGCUGAUUCAGCUUGCUUCUGGGCUCUCUUCUCACCUUGAGUGAGGCAAUACAAAAACCCGUUUUCCAUUUCGGAAUCCUAUCAACUGGAACAAAUCCACCAGUGGAGCAUCUUCACAAGGGCAAUCUCUAACCUCUUUCCUACUCAAACAGAUAGUGCCCUUGAAUUAGCACUGCCCCACGUUUUCACCUUCUUCAUUCAUCUUUCCACCCAGCUU